This 447-nucleotide ribosomal RNA is filed under the name uncultured Nitrosospira sp. RNAcentral describes it as "bacterial SSU rRNA". It matches the Rfam family "Bacterial small subunit ribosomal RNA", at positions 179 to 592 of the family's 1533-position model. Lineage: Bacteria; Pseudomonadati; Pseudomonadota; Betaproteobacteria; Nitrosomonadales; Nitrosomonadaceae. The record is from RNAcentral.
CCCCGCCGCGCGGCGGGCGGGGCGGGGGCACGGGGGGAGGAAAGUAGGGGAUCGCAAGACCUUGCGCUUUUGGAGCGGCCGAUGUCUGAUUAGCUAGUUGGUGAGGUAAAGGCUUACCAAGGCUUCGAUCAGUAGCUGGUCUGAGAGGACGACCAGCCACACUGGGACUGAGACACGGCCCAGACUCCUACGGGAGGCAGCAGUGGGGAAUUUUGGACAAUGGGGGCAACCCUGAUCCAGCCAUGCCGCGUGAGUGAAGAAGGCCUUCGGGUUGUAAAGCUCUUUCAGCCGGAACGAAACGGUCACGGCUAAUNNNCGUGAUUACUGACGGUACCGGAAGAAGAAGCACCGGCUAACUACGUGCCAGCAGCCGCGGUAAUACGUAGGGUGCAAGCNNNNNUCGGAAUUACUGGGCGUAAAGCGUGCGCAGGCGGUUUGUAAGUCAGA